CAUACUGUUCGUACCACUACUAUAUCAAUCCUCGAGAGAUUAACGUAUAAAAGGGCGCUCGGGAUCUCGAUUUCGGCAAAAAGCAUUUUUUGUGCAAUCCUAUUCUUUGUUUUCACUUCGUUUCAUUCCACGAAAACCAACCAAAAUCAAAAAUGGGCGCUGAAAAGGUAUCCAUGAACAUUGUUGUCGUCGGACAAGUCCAAUCUGCUAAGGCCAUCAACAAGGUCGCCAAGGCCGCACCAUCCACAAACCAAUCGAUGAUCAGUUAAAUAAUGUAAUGUAGCCCAUCCAUUUCAAGCUCAAAAAUGCCAUAAUCCAAACAAUACAUGUAAUUGAUGUAUCAUAUGUGUUGCCAUUGCUAAAUAAAUCAGACCCUUCCGUUAAU
Diuraphis noxia (Russian wheat aphid) is the source of this 385-nucleotide long non-coding RNA. Lineage: Eukaryota; Metazoa; Arthropoda; Insecta; Hemiptera; Aphididae. The record is from RefSeq and is a predicted model, not a curated record.